Patella vulgata (common limpet) is the source of this 631-nucleotide long non-coding RNA. RefSeq lists it as uncharacterized. Lineage: Eukaryota; Metazoa; Mollusca; Gastropoda; Patellidae. The record is from RefSeq and is a predicted model, not a curated record. The transcript is spliced from 3 exons.
GGGAGAUAAUUCUUAAAAACAACAUGGCUACCUUCUGAAUAAUUUUGUUUGUCGUAAGUCAGUCCCCAAAAAUAACAACAUGGCUACCUUCUGAAUAAUUUUGUUUGUCGUAAGUCAAUCCCCAGCCACAACAACUUUCAUUGUGACAGUGCUAAAAUGUCUUUUAUAACUAAACAUAUGUUGAAACUACCUUCAGCGUUUAGAUCAUGUGUCAAUUUCAAUAGUUUUAGUUCUUUAUGCUUGAGACAGUCAUUGUUAAUAGGAUAUUCACCAUGUCAAAAGAAAUUAGAACAAAAUGCAGUAAGUUAUUCUGAUGGAAAGAAUAACAUAUUGUCAUAUCAACCAAAGUCAUUUCAAACAAACAAUAAAAACAGUUGUUCAGUUGGGUGUGCAGAAAUGUUUCACACAAAUUUGAUAAAAAGAUAUUACUCUUCAAGCUCCUAUUCUGAUGAAUUUAACACUCCAUCACCAUAUAAGAAACCUGGUCCUAGAAAUUAUGGUUAUAAAACAAAAACUUUUACAGAAGGACUCCUUCCACGAUCAGAAGAAGAGAAGAAAUUUUUGCAGAAAUAUAAACCUAAAGAUUCUUGGAAUAGGCGGAGAGCUUUAUUUGGCCAAAAUGAUUACAUAG